RNAcentral lists this ribosomal RNA (429 nucleotides) under Chloroflexota bacterium. RNAcentral's name for it is "Chloroflexi bacterium partial 16S ribosomal RNA". It matches the Rfam family "Bacterial small subunit ribosomal RNA", at positions 355 to 776 of the family's 1533-position model. Lineage: Bacteria; Bacillati; Chloroflexota. The record is from RNAcentral.
UGGGGAAUAUUGCACAAUGGGCGCAAGCCUGAUGCAGCCAUGCCGCGUGUGUGAAGAAGGCCUUCGGGUUGUAAAGCACUUUCAGCGGGGAGGAAGGCGGUGAGGUUAAUAACCUCAUCGAUUGACGUUACCCGCAGAAGAAGCACCGGCUAACUCCGUGCCAGCAGCCGCGGUAAUACGGAGGGUGCAAGCGUUAAUCGGAAUUACUGGGCGUAAAGCGCACGCAGGCGGUCUGUCAAGUCGGAUGUGAACUCCCCGGGCUCAACCUGGGAACUGCAUUCGAAACUGGCAGGCUAGAGUCUUGUAGAGGGGGGUAGAAUUCCAGGUGUAGCGGUGAAAUGCGUAGAGAUCUGGAGGAAUACCGGUGGCGAAGGCGGCCCCCUGGACAAAGACUGACGCUCAGGUGCGAAAGCGUGGGGAGCAAACAGG